GCUCACUUUGGUAACAACAUAUACUAAAAUUGGAAUGAUACAGAGAAGACUAGCAUUGCUCCUGUGCAAAGAUGACAUGUGAAUUCAUGGUAUGUUCCGUAUUUUU
Molecule: small nuclear RNA, 106 nt
Organism: Suricata suricatta (meerkat)
Lineage: Eukaryota; Metazoa; Chordata; Mammalia; Carnivora; Herpestidae
Source: Ensembl